This 542-nucleotide ribosomal RNA is filed under the name Terrabacter sp. SMCC B0682. RNAcentral describes it as "bacterial SSU rRNA". It matches the Rfam family "Bacterial small subunit ribosomal RNA", at positions 186 to 743 of the family's 1533-position model. The record is from RNAcentral. Lineage: Bacteria; Bacillati; Actinomycetota; Actinomycetes; Micrococcales; Intrasporangiaceae.
GGGCAUCCGUAUGGUGUGGAAAGUUUUUCGGUCUGGGAUGGACUCGCGGCCUAUCAUCUGUUGGGGAGGUAGUGGGUCUCCACGGGGACGACGGGUAGCCGGCCUGAGAGGGCGACCGGCCACACUGGGACUGAGACACGGCCCAGACUCCUACGGGAGGCAGCAGUGGGGAAUAUUGCACAAUGGGCGGAAGCCUGAUGCAGCGACGCCGCGUGAGGGAUGACGGCCUUCGGGUUGUAAACCUCUUUCAGCAGGGAAGAAGCGCAAGUGACGGUACCUGCAGAAGAAGCACCGGCUAACUACGUGCCAGCAGCCGCGGUAAUACGUAGGGUGCGAGCGUUGUCCGGAAUUAUUGGGCGUAAAGAGCUUGUAGGUGGUUUGUCGCGUCUGCUGUGAAAAUCCGAGGCUCAACCUCGGACUUGCAGUGGGUACGGGCAGACUAGAGUGUGGUAGGGGAGACUGGAAUUCCUGGUGUAGCGGUGGAAUGCGCAGAUAUCAGGAGGAACACCGAUGGCGAAGGCAGGUCUCUGGGCCAUUACUGA